CAGAAUUCGCGAAUCAUCGAGUCUUUGAACGCAAGUUGCGCCCGAGGCUUGCCCUCGGGCAUUUCUGUCAGAGCGUCACCGCGCCACCCACCGACCCCCCACCCCCUCC
Molecule: ribosomal RNA, 109 nt
Filed under: Schistidium abrupticostatum
Lineage: Eukaryota; Viridiplantae; Streptophyta; Bryopsida; Grimmiales; Grimmiaceae
Description: partial 5.8S ribosomal RNA
Rfam family: 5.8S ribosomal RNA (bases 1-78)
About the family: 5.8S ribosomal RNA (5.8S rRNA) is a component of the large subunit of the eukaryotic ribosome. It is transcribed by RNA polymerase I as part of the 45S precursor that also contains 18S and 28S rRNA.
Source: RNAcentral